UAUUUUGUUGUUUAUUUCUUAGGAAUUGAUAUUUCUACUGAGUUUACAGUUUGUUCAGUUCUCACCGAUAAACAUACAUAUUUAUUAUCAUUUGAAAAUGAAAAAAAGAAACAACCAGCUAUCAAUGGUGUAUUGAUAAAUGCUUCUUUACGUUGCUCCUGAUUCGCCUCAACAUUAAACUCUCACUCCUGUUAUCUUCAACUUCUCAAUCUUGUUUUACUUCUCAUUUUUUCUUCUCUUUUCUUCCAUUAAACUCUGUGUAUUAUCUUCACUUACUUUUUUCAUCUUAAAAUCUUCUCUUUCUUUUACUCCUGCUUCUUGGGAGGGAAAAGAAUCAAGAAUAUAAAUGUAUAUGUAUAAACGCACACACAACAUUCAUCUUGAUACACCAACACCACUAACAGAAACAACUGUAAAACAAAAACUGUGCUUGUGUCCUGCCAUUGGAUUUUCUGGUCAACUCUUUUUCCUCUUCUCCUCUUAACUCCAUUACCAUCGUGAACAUCUUAUUUUGUUUACAUCUUUUUGGUUAAUUAACAUUUUGUUUUACCAGUUAUUUGGUUCAAUUGGUAUUUUGUUUCAUCAAUAUUUUGUGAUCCAGUUUUUCAUCUUUUUUUUCGCCUCACACAAGUUUGCCAAAAUUAUCGCUAAACAGAGCUCUGGUUUAACUGCAAUGCAAUCGGUACCACACAACAUCUCAGUGGUACUAACCCAAUGGCUUCCACCAGCCAUUCGGGUUUCCUGGUCUUUCACUCCUGGGCCCGAUUUAAUUGAAUCAACUAGUCACCAUGAUAAAUCUUUUAAACUAUCAAAAAUGUUUCGCAUUGUCUACUUUCCUGUUGGUUCCAAAACACGAUAUGUUCAGGAAGUGCCUAUAAACAUGAGAAAUGUUACCAUUGAACAGUUAGUGCCAAACACGGAAUAUCAACUUCUCAUUAAUGUUGUCUCUAGUUCAGAUCUGAUAGGAAAUUCGAGUCAUUUCAUCCGUUUUGUUUCACCUGAUGGAGAACCACAUCGAUUUGUCCGAGGAGGAAUGAAUCCAUUGAGGAUAAGACUAGAUGUUGAUCCUGAAAUAAUUGUCCGACCAGGUGAAGCUAUUUUAGUCUCAUUCAUCUUAAUCUUUUGGGUCCUGGUAAUACUUUGGUUUAUUAAAAAAUGGGGCAAAAUAAGGACACUUGAGCCAACUCGACAUCGAACUGAUACUGAUAUAUCUUCCUUUUCUCAACAAACUCGAUUCACUUCCAUUGGAGGAGCCAAUAUACCUCAAGUACAUACCAGUGAUUCUCGCGACUCGCUUGAACUGGUUAACUGUACCUCAACGGGUAAUUUCCAACGACCACGCUUAAAUUCAGUUUUCCUAGUCAGUCCAUCUCGUCGAUCAUCGUUAUUACCGGAAGAGUACAAAAUACCUCGUCGUUAUAAAUCAGCAGAAGAUCUCAAAUCGCUAGUCUUACAAAUAACCCAGACAAAGGGUUUACACACCACUGGUCCAUAUGUUCACAAGUCUUCCUCAUUACAACCGCCAUUACCUUUAUCAUCAUCACCUUCUUACAAUGGUAUGUGAAAAAUUAGUUUAUCAAAUUCACUAAAUGUAAAAUAAAUUGAAAAGAGUCGAGCAAUAGAACAAUUAAUUAACAAAUUUCUGAAAACGUUAAAUGAAAGCUUUCAUUACGCCAUAACUUAACGGCUUUUUUAUCGGUUUAAUUAAACUACCCCUAGAUGGGGUGAGAGAGAGUUGAAAAAACAAAUGAUUUUUUUCGUUAAACAUUAAUAAUAACAUUAAAAGUAAAGUUUCAAUCUUAUCAUCAGAAAAUUCAUAAAACUAUUGUAUUGUUAUAAUAAUCAUCAUCAUCAAAAGGAAAUGAAAAUUUUGUUUCUUGUGAAAGACUUUUUCUGUGAACCCAGUGAACCUACUGUUUUCCUAAAAAAAGACCCAAUGUGCUUCUGUCAUCCUAAGUAACUGACAAAAUUAUUUUCAUAAUACAACUGCAAAUAUAUCUGAAGAUUACUUUUCUAGAAGAAAAGGAAAAUGGAAGUGAUGAAGAAUAGAAAACUGAGGAAGAAAAGAAGGAGAAAUAUCCUUCCAUUAUCAUCAUCAUUCUUGUUGAAAUUGCUGGAUUCAACAUAAACCAUUGCAAUUUAAUGUCUUUUUACUUUAUCUAAAUCUCAGACAGUUUAUGUCUUAUUUAGCUUUUGUUGGUGCUUUUCCCUUUCAUGUUCAACUCUUUAGAGUGUGAUAUUGUAUUAAAUAUGGUUAUCAAAAACAACGAAGGAAAUCAUCUGUUCAUUCUGAUGAAACUGUUGAAGUAAAGGAGGAAUUGGACAAAAGACCGCUGAAAAUGAAGAGUAUCGAUGAAAAUGAAUGUGAUAGUGGGGAAAAUCGUCGUCAAAAUACUCAGUGAUUAAUUAACUAUGGAUAUAUGUAAUUAAUUAUGCACAGAAAGACACACGCAAUUGACUAUUCCAUCAUCAACAAAUGAACCUUUAACAAUAAUCAAUAACCAUGGGAUGAUUUACCAAAGUAAAUUAAACUGGUCAAAUUAAUGGAUACAGAGAGGAAUCCAAAGUAAUAAAAUACAAACGG
Molecule: non-coding RNA, 2584 nt
Organism: Tetranychus urticae (two-spotted spider mite)
Lineage: Eukaryota; Metazoa; Arthropoda; Arachnida; Trombidiformes; Tetranychidae
Source: RefSeq, a predicted model, not a curated record